This is a long non-coding RNA of Pungitius pungitius (ninespine stickleback), 1341 nucleotides long. RefSeq lists it as uncharacterized. Lineage: Eukaryota; Metazoa; Chordata; Actinopteri; Perciformes; Gasterosteidae. The record is from RefSeq and is a predicted model, not a curated record. The transcript has 3 exons.
UAAGAGCUACACGCACGGGCUACGGAGGGGGAGAGCGCAUGAGGAAGUUGUGUUGUUGUUGUGAUGACGGAGUGGAUGUAGCGGCCGGAGAAUUGUCUGUACUGUAACUUUGUUACUCAGUGUUAGAUUAAUAAAUCCUCAAAGAAAGUAAAGCGGACUUUUAUUCACCAACCCCGGGACGAAGGGAAUUAACCCCAAAGUUUACUUAGCCGACAGUACUUUGGCCCUGGAGCAGACAGCAACGCCUCCCCCUGCAAACUCCGACUACGGUCAGAGACGGACCGGCAGGAAAGCGUGCAGCCGGGCGCAGCUAAAUGACACGUAAUGUAUUAUGGCCCGUGCAAAGUCAUGCCACCAGUCUGAGGACAUCACUGGGAAUGGCACAUGGGACACGUGGCUUUCAACUCCAGCGAGGUGGGAAAGCAUUUCUUUAUGUAUAUUUUGUUCUGUCUGCAUAAUUGUAAAAGACUUCUUCCCGCAUUCGUACAACAGCAUUCCAUAUCGUGUGACUGUCGAUGGAUGUAAUAAUUUGGCCUUCUUUUUUUCUUCCACCACACGGCACGGGUGGGCUUCACCGCGGGCAAUCGUGGCAAAGACCCAAGUCGACUGGACCACAGCGGAAAAUGAUCCUUCCAGAGAAGAAGUUAUUUACUUCUACAACGAAUGGAAGAGUUACAACUUCCAGAUGACAGCUCGCCGCUCAUCCUUCUGGGCAACUUGAACAUCCGACAGAACUUAUGUGACCUACUGCGUUUAUUUUCUCCUUUAGCUCUCAUUUAAGUAUUAAAAUUCGCUGUAUUUUUGCAAGAGAGGCACCAAUCCUAUUUGAGUGACGUUUCGAUUGUGAAAUUGUAUUGGACCAUAUAGGUCAUCUGCAGAGCGUUGGCCCCUGGCGCAGUAAACCAGGGUUUGAUUCUUGGCAUGCACAAGACUCCUCAUGUGACUUUAAAUGAAUCCAGAAUGCAAUAUUUGUUCAGUAUGCAAGGGCAGUGAUUUAUUUAGUCAUGUUUGGUCAUGUUUUGGUUUUUUUACAUGACAAUAUGGUUUGGUACAUGCUGAGUUAAUGAAUAUACAUUCUAAAGUGCAAUGUCCAUAUGUGAAUAAGAGUUGUAUACGUUUAUCAUAGUCAACAUGGUGUGGAAAUAUCCCUUAUGUAGUUGGUCAAUGGGAACUAUAGUAGGCCGUAAUAACAGCUAAGGUAAUUACAGGUGGAUAUUUCUGGGAAUUAACCUUAAAUGAGACUGCAUUUAUGAUAUCUAAGAUAUACAGGACAAGAAAAAUGCACUGGAUGUGUAUAUGUGUUGAAUCAAUUAUACAGACGCAAACUGGAGAACGAGACAA